Monodelphis domestica (gray short-tailed opossum) is the source of this 4084-nucleotide long non-coding RNA. RefSeq lists it as uncharacterized. The record is from RefSeq and is a predicted model, not a curated record. NCBI's taxonomy places the organism in Eukaryota, Metazoa, Chordata, Mammalia, Didelphimorphia, Didelphidae.
UCCCGCCCAGGGUGCUGAUUCCCUGGUUCUGUCCCGUGAGGGCUCAAAAGUACUGACUAUCAGACCCAUCCUGACAUUUAACUAAAACACUACUUGUUAGAAGGCAAAAAGUAGUUUGUCCUUGAGGUUCACAGAAGACCAGAGAUUUUAGAACCGGAACUUUGGAGAUCGUCCAGUGCAGAGAUCUAAAAGGGGCAAAUCAAAUCCACAAGAUGAUACUGUUUGUAAGUAGCAGAACCAUCAUUUACGUCUGUUUCCUAACUCUAAAUCAAGAGUUCUUUAUAUUGUGGCUCAAGUGAGGUCACACACACACACACACACACACACACACACACACACACACACACACACACACACACACGGCACACUGUCUUUUUGGCCACAGAAGGAUCUCUGGGUGAAGCAUCUCCCUCUCUCUGCAAACAUACAAAUAUCCUGAAAUUUCUCCGAGAACGUUCCUGGAGCGAGGAAAGGGUAACUGACUUACAUCCUGCCCGGCAGCCUCCAUCUCUCUGCCUCUGCCUGUUUGGCUCUGUAUAGACUACACAGAUUACAAAGAAUGUGUAUAGAAUUCCGGAUUUUGAAGACUCUUACUAGAGGAUCGGCAAUAAUCACCAAGGUAUCAUUGCUCUUGUUACACUAGAACUCCAUGUAACAAACAGGCUCCCAGUCUUCCAGGAGGAGCCAGAGUUUCCAGAAAGUACAGAACUCAGCCCUGAAGAAACUUGAAGAGUUAGUUAGAGGCAAAGGUUACAAGGAGACCUUGGCAAGGAUCGCUGGGCCCUCAAUGCCGUCCGGGCCCACGUUUCCUUUAUAGGAACUGCUUCUGGUAGGAAACAAAGAUUUCACCAGGAAGCCACGUAAAGAGGAACUCGAGAAAAGAAGCGCUUUUCUAAAGGCUAGUGUAACCCACGCCGAGUUUUUGAUGCCUACCCUGGAUGUACAGACUUGUUUCUCUCUCUCUCUCUCUCUCUCUCUCUCUCUCUCUCUCUCUCUCUCUCUCUCUCUCUCUCUCUCUCUCUCUUUUUUGCCUGCAAACUUUGUCUAGUCCUACAGAUAGAAAUAUAAAUAUAUAUAAUCCCUAUAGACAGUUGUCAACUUGGAAAAAUGCAGAAGGACUAAAGGAGUCGGCAAAAGCAAAUGUUUAAUCAGCAAAGAGAUAGUGUUUAAUAUUUGGCCACCACACAGAGUCAAGGACUGGGGACUCUGAGACAGUAUCUCUGAGAGAAUCACCACAGAAGAGGACUCUCCACAGAACAAUAGAACUUGGGAUCUUAUAUGCCUUUGGGGGAACUAGGUCCAGCAAACACCCUCUGACAGGUUGUGAGCAGGCUUGGGAAGGAGGCUAGAGCCAGAGGCUGGGGUAUCAGGAAGUGAUCUACUACACAGUAGUAGUCUCUCGGUAACCAAGGAUGAUGAUUGUUGGUUUUUUGUGUGUGUGUGUGUGCACAAAGACACUUGUGUGCGAAGGAGAUUUAAGUGGAAAAGUCGAUGCACAGAGACAGUCCCUCUCUCUCCGCGUCGGAAGCCUGGGUCCAGUGGCACGAAAAGUCGUUACACCUGGAGACUUCCUCAGCUGCAUUGGGUGGCCGUGUUGUCCUUUGUGCUCCAACAUGCCCUGAGCACUCCACAGUGCUUUGCUGGGUCGCCCUCUCAGCCGUUGAACCUUCUUAUUGGUUUCUUCUGUCUGUUCAGCCGAAGCAGUCUUCACAUGCUGGAUGAGCAAAGCCCUGGUUCACCAGGGGUCGAUGGCCUGUUGAAGCUGUUUCCCAGGGUGUGGCCACUGCCACAUGCUAGCAGCUACUGGGAGCUACAAGUGAGAGCUGGGGAGAGCUGCCCUAGGAGGGCACAAGCCCUCCAUACCAGAGAUACUACCCCUCUCUGAACACCCCAUAGACCCCUAUUCUACUACAGUGAAUACAAAAGGAAAGGGUCCAGCCAAGGGCUGGCUGGGUGACCUGGGAGAGGACUUAAAUACAAUGAAAGAAGCUACUAAGACAAAAAAGGGUACUUAACAUUUGACUAUGUCCUCUAGUCUCAGCUAAACUAGGGUCACCAAGUACUUCAAGGUGUAUUGUUCAGCCCCAAACAAGGAGUCUGGGACUUCCCUCAGGGUGAGUUCUCAGGGGCAGGGGCAAACUUGGAAUUUGCAAAAACCCAGUGGACUAUAUGUAAUCCACAUAGAUAUAAUCCUAGAUAUAUAAUCCCUAUUGUCAACUUCCUGAGGGGAAGUCCUACUCUACCAGUCUCAGGCUAACCAUAGACCUUGAGUUAGUUCUGAGUGGGGAUGGCUAAUCCCAUCAGUUAACUCUUUUUGCUUUAGAAGUCUCUCCCAUUGUACCACAUCCCCCUUUCAAGGAUGGAACCCAGACCUACAUGCUACCUACUGUGCUAUAACUCAAGGUCUAUUAUGAGUCUGAGACAGGUGAAGUAGGACUUUCCCUCAGGGAAGAACUCUCAGGAGACAAAGUGAAAGCCUCCAGUUUAAAUCUUUCUAGGGUACAAGUUUGGGGGUUUCUAGAUUCCAUGUUGACACUAUAGAUAUAUAAGCCCUAUAGAUAUAUAAUCCUAUAAAUAUAAUCCCUAUAUAUAGUAUAUGCAUAAUAUAUAUAUCAACACAAGAUCUAAGACUUAAAAUGAUAUUAUUCAGGGCACAAGAAAAUGGACAAAGGAAGAUGGCUUCAAGACAAUGAUUAUACCCAGGUCUGAGUUGACAGAGGGAAGUGGUAAAAUUGCUUCCCAGUCUCUGGUGCUUUAUGGUGGAGAGAGGUCACCAAGGUCUCAUUUGGGAUGAUGUGACUACAAGUAGAAAAAGGACCUGCCAGAAGCUUUUUGAGGAUUUGAUGUUCCCAAGUUAUUGUUAUGGGAGAAAUAAGUCCUCUAUGAGUUCAUGUGGUAGGUAACUGCUGCCAAAAUAUAUUUAGUAACAUGCAGAAAUUAUAGAGGUUUAAAAAAACCCUAGGUUUUAUUAAUAUGUUCAAGAAUAAGUUUAAGUAAAGGCAGCUAGUUGCAUACUAGGACUGGAAUUGGGAGGAUCUGGGUUCAAAAAUGGCCACAGAUACAUAGUUUUGCGACCCUGGGCAAGUCAUUUAACCCUAAUUGCCUAGUCCCAUGAUGGCAAACCUAUGGUAUACAAGCAGAACUCUCUCUGUGGGCACUGGCUGUCCCCCAUCUGAUUUCAUUACUAGAACACCAGAGGUAACUGGCAGAGCUGUUCCCUUCCCCCUCUCCACUCUGCCUGAUGACAUUUUUUUCACAUCCCCCACCCCUCUGUCCAGUAGCCCAAUGGGAACACUCAGAGGGUAAGGUGGGAGGCUCAUAGUGGCCAGAGCUGGAGGGGGGCAGAGUGCUCAGGCCAUUCCCUUCCCCCUCUCUCUCUCCACUCAUUGAGGAUAUUCCUCACUUCACCUGCCCCUCUCUCUGCCCAGCAGUCCAAUGGGAACUCUUCCCCACCCUUGUGUGGGUUAAGGGAGCAGGGCAUGCACAGCAUGUGGUGUGGAGAGGCAAGGUGCAUGGUCUCUAAAAAGUUCACCAUCACUGGUCUAGCCCUUACCACUUUUCUGCCUUGGAACCAAUGCAAAGUGCUGAUUCUAAGACAGAAGAUAAGGGUUUAUUUUUAUAAAGAAUAGCUUCAAACCUUAGAGAAAACAAUAAAUCUGAACAACCAUUAGGAUUCUAACUAGUUUUCUUACAGGCAAAAUUACCAGAGUAACAGAGAAAUAAUUCUUUUACAUUUUGCAAUCUUGUACAUUACUGUUGGGUUAUAGAAACUAAAGAAAAGACAAAAUUCAUAAUACUAUAAUUCCUUCAAUGUCAGAAAAGUUGAAAAAACAGGAUUAAACAAAGUUAUAGUCUUCUGCAUUCUCAGAGGAAACAAACUUCAUCAAACAAAUUCUAUAAGCAAAUUAAGUCAUGUAGCAGAGUAAGCUACAUUUCCACAGUUCCCAAAUAGGCUAAAAGGGGGAAGAUUUAGGUGCUGUCAAGAAGUCAGAAACAGUUGAAAUUCUUACUCAGGCCAUGGACAGUUUUUGGUCAGGUGAAAUUAAUAUUAACCGAAGAUGGGCUUUCAAUUAACCAAAAGUUG